This 401-nucleotide RNase P RNA is filed under the name Kistimonas sp. RNAcentral describes it as "RNase P RNA component class A". It matches the Rfam family "Bacterial RNase P class A". From Rfam's summary of the family: Ribonuclease P (RNase P) is a ubiquitous endoribonuclease, found in archaea, bacteria and eukarya as well as chloroplasts and mitochondria. Its best characterised activity is the generation of mature 5'-ends of tRNAs by cleaving the 5'-leader elements of precursor-tRNAs. The record is from RNAcentral. Lineage: Bacteria; Pseudomonadati; Pseudomonadota; Gammaproteobacteria; Oceanospirillales; Endozoicomonadaceae.
CAAGACAGCCGGGCAGCCGCUGUCUCCGGCACCUUGGUCCUGUAACGGGACGAAAAGUGGCGGAGGGGGAGGAAAGUCCGGGCUCCGAAGGACAGGGUGCCAGGUAAUGCCUGGGGGGCGAGAGCCUACGGAAAGUGCCGCAGAGAGCAGACCGCCGGUCUGGAGUCUUUUCCGGCCGGUAAGGGUGAAAGGGUGCGGUAAGAGCGCACCGCAUGGCUGGCAACAGUCCAUGGCAGGGUAAACCCCACCCGGAGCAAGACCAAAUAGGAAUUCGUUGGCGUGGUCCGCGCUGAAUUCGGGUAGGUCGCUUGAGGUGCGCGGUGACGCGCAUCCCAGAUGAAUGGUUGCCAGAAGUUUCCCUUGAAACUUUACAGAACCCGGCUUACAGGCUGUCUUGUCGC